GCGCGGUUAGUAUAGUGGUCAGUACUCUCGUUCCCCAAACGAGCGACCCGGGUUCGAUUCCCGGACUGCGCA
RNAcentral lists this transfer RNA (72 nucleotides) under Neurospora pannonica FGSC 7221. RNAcentral describes it as "tRNA-Gly (CCC) (tRNA-Gly-CCC-3-1)". It matches the Rfam family "tRNA". From Rfam's summary of the family: Transfer RNA (tRNA) molecules are approximately 80 nucleotides in length. Lineage: Eukaryota; Fungi; Ascomycota; Sordariomycetes; Sordariales; Sordariaceae. The record is from RNAcentral.